This 675-nucleotide ribosomal RNA is filed under the name uncultured bacterium. RNAcentral describes it as "bacterial SSU rRNA". It matches the Rfam family "Bacterial small subunit ribosomal RNA", at positions 140 to 826 of the family's 1533-position model. The record is from RNAcentral.
GGGACAGCCUCGGGAAACCGUGGGUAAUACCGGAUACUCCGGGACGGCCGCAUGGCCGGCCCGGGAAAGCCCAGACGGGAGGGGAUGGGCCCGCGGCCUGUUAGCUAGUCGGCGGGGUAACGGCCCACCGAGGCGAUUAUGGGUAGCCGGGUUGAGAGACCGACCGGCCAGAUUGGGACUGAGACACGGCCCAGACUCCUACGGGAGGCAGCAGUGGGGAAUCUUGCGCAAUGGGCGGAAGCCUGACGCAGCGACGCCGCGUGCGGGACGAAGGCCUUCGGGUCGUAAACCGCUUUCAGCAGGGACGAGGCCCUCACGGUGACGGUACCUGCAGAAGAAGCCCCGGCUAACUACGUGCCAGCAGCCGCGGUAAUACGUAGGGGGCGAGCGUUAUCCGGAUUCAUUGGGCGUAAAGCGCGCGUAGGCGGCCUGUUAGGUCGGGGGUCAAAUACCGGGGCUCAACCUCGGUCCGCCCCCGAUACCGGCAGGCUUGAGUCUGGUAGGGGAAGGCGGAAUUCCCAGUGCAGCGGUGGAAUGCGUAGAUAUAUGGAAGAACACCAGUGGCGAAGGCGGCUCUCUGGUCUGCAACUGACGCUGAGGCUCGAAAGCAUGGGUAGCGAACAGGAUUAGAUACCCUGGUAGUCCAUGCCGUAAACGAUGAGUGAUGAGUGUUGG